AUUGAACGCUGGCGGAGUGCUUUACACAUGCAAGUCGAACGGCAGCACGGACUUCGGUCUGGUGGCGAGUGGCGAACGGGUGAGUAAUACAUCGGAACGUGCCCAAUCGUGGGGGAUAACGUAGCGAAAGCUACGCUAAUACCGCGUACGAUCUAAGGAUGAAAGCGGAGGAUCGCAAGACCUCGCGCGAUUGGAGCGGCCGAUGGCAGAUUAGGUAGUUGGUAGGGUAAAGGCCUACCAAGCCGACGAUCUGUAGCUGGUCUGAGAGGAUGAUCAGCCACACUGGGACUGAGACACGGCCCAGACUCCUACGGGAGGCAGCAGUGGGGAAUUUUGGACAAUGGACGCAAGUCUGAUCCAGCCAUUCCGCGUGCAGGAUGAAGGCCCUCGGGUUGUAAACUGCUUUUGUACAGAACGAAAAGGCUCUGGUUAAUACCUAGGGCUCAUGACGGUACUGUAAGAAUAAGCACCGGCUAACUACGUGCCAGCCGCGCGGUAA
Molecule: ribosomal RNA, 499 nt
Filed under: uncultured bacterium
Lineage: Bacteria
Description: partial 16S ribosomal RNA
Rfam family: Bacterial small subunit ribosomal RNA
Source: RNAcentral